This 240-nucleotide unclassified non-coding RNA is filed under the name soil metagenome. RNAcentral describes it as "partial contains 5.8S ribosomal RNA, internal transcribed spacer 2, and large subunit ribosomal RNA". The record is from RNAcentral.
AACCUUAUGGACCUGCGGGCGUAUACCUGCGGAAGGAUCAUUAUAGAGUUUUCUAAACUCCCAAACCCAUGUGAACUUACCAUUGUUGCCUCGGCAGAGCCUACCCGGUACCUACCCUGGAACUAGCUACCCUGUAGCUACCCAGGAACGGGCUACCCUGUAACGUCCUGCCGGUGGACUUCUAAACUCUUGUUAUUUAUAGUAAUCUGAGCGUCUUAUUUUAAUAAGUCAAAACUUUUA